GAUACCCUGUGGUUCACGUGUACGGCCAUUUUUUUACCAACACAUCUUAUACGGGAUGCGUUCUCUCCAUGCGGCGUAUACGCCUCCUUUCCCUUUGGGGACUGCCAGUGGACAUAUAAUGUAUGGAGGAUGCGACCCACCUGCAAAUGCAGGUAAGAAACUCGGCCCAGCCACGGUUCUCGUGGGGUUAUU
Molecule: non-coding RNA, 192 nt
Filed under: Candidatus Avimonoglobus intestinipullorum
Lineage: Bacteria; Bacillati; Bacillota; Clostridia; Eubacteriales
Description: 6S RNA
Rfam family: 6S / SsrS RNA
About the family: E. coli 6S RNA was the first non coding RNA to be sequenced, but its function was unknown until recently. It consists of 184 nucleotides that fold into an extended hairpin structure with a large single-stranded internal bulge.
Source: RNAcentral